GACGAACGCUGGCGGCGUGCCUAAUACAUGCAAGUAGAACGCUGAAGCGAGGAGCUUGCUCUUCUUGGAUGAGUUGCGAACGGGUGAGUAACGCGUAGGUAACCUGCCUUGUAGCGGGGGAUAACUAUUGGAAACGAUAGCUAAUACCGCAUAACAAUGGAUGACACAUGUCAUUUAUUUGAAAGGGGCAAUUGCUCCACUACAAGAUGGACCUGCGUUGUAUUAGCUAGUAGGUGAGGUAAUGGCUCACCUAGGCGACGAUACAUAGCCGACCUGAGAGGGGGAUCGGCCACACUGGGACUGAGACACCGCCCAGACCCCUACGAGAGGCAGCAGUAGGGAAUCUUCGGCAAUGGGGGCAACCCUGACCGAGCAACGCCGCGUGAGGGAAGAAGGGUUUCGGAUCGUAAAGCUCUGUUGUAAGUCAAGAACGGGUGUGAGAGUGGAAAGUUCACACUGUGACGGUAGCUUACCAGAAAGGGACGGCUAACUACGUG
This 497-nucleotide ribosomal RNA is filed under the name uncultured bacterium. Its description in RNAcentral is "partial 16S ribosomal RNA". It matches the Rfam family "Bacterial small subunit ribosomal RNA", at positions 28 to 507 of the family's 1533-position model. The record is from RNAcentral.